CAUCAAGUUAAAAUUUAUUAGAAAUGUUUGCUUGCCUUGCAGAACACUUGCAGGACAAGUUACUCACAAUCCAAGGUUUUGCUGAUACCACUAAAAUGACAUUAGGAACACUCCUUGGAGAAUGAAAAGAAGUAGAGGAUAUGAACAUAGAGUAAAUAUAAUAAGAAAGUGAGGAAAACAUUUCAGAUGGAAAAAAUAAUAGUCUUAGCAGGAAGCUUCCUAAAUGGCACAAUCACUGAUCAAACUUGAAAAGUUGAAGAACCUGGACGAAGAUCUGAGAAGUCAGAUUUUUCAAAGUCAAAUUUCAUAACCCUCUGGGAUAAAAUUUAGGGAACAAAUUCUAGAAAAAAAGUGACUAAGAAAAAAACCUCCCUAAACUCCACACAAAAAGGCCUCAUGACUUCAUGACUUUUCUAUGAAGAAAAGCAACAUAAUUAAGGAACGAGAAUCUUGCCCACCUUCCAUCCUGAAUACCCAUGCAAACUUGCUAAUCUCAAUGACAGUCACUGAUGUAUGCUCCUUUUUCUUUCUCCCUUUUGUAUCGUCUGGCCCUGUAUUUGGAUUACUACUGGCCCUCCUCUGUAUUGGUUUUAUGUUACAAAGUUCAUGAAAUCAACUUCCCCUUUUCCCCUUUGUUCUUAGGGCCAUCACAGGGGGACCUCCAACAAGACCCCUAUGUUCCUCAGAGGCUCCUCCUCCUACCCAUCCCGUCCCCACCAUCAUCAGGGAUCACUGUAACAUAAAUGCUCACCUUUCCAAUUCUCUUGUUUCACAAAUAUUGCUUCCUCCAAGAAGCCUUCUAACAUGCUUCCAGGCAGAAAUCAUUGUUCCACCAUCCAAGCUCUCACAUUUCAUCUGGUCUAGUCUUACAACAUAUAAAACUUUCUGCCUUGUACUUCGGUUCUGCUUUUGCACAUCUUAUUUCCAGAGCCCUCGGGAGACAAAGGCUAUGCCUGAUUUCCCUCACUAUUUACCACAGCAAUCGGUACAGCACUUUACAUACCCCAGUGCUUCAAAAUGCUUUAACUUGGGAUCAGUAUUCCUGGAAGCAAAGAUUAAGUCAAAAGAAUAACACAGUUUCUUCAAAGUUGAAAACUUUGAGGCUGGAUUUAGUUAGCAAGAGCUCUGACCUCAAAACAUGAUUAUGCACAAGGGCAUCAUAUCAACACCAGGAUGUCCUUUUGUUCUUGUUUUAUGGUGAUUUACUAGCAGAAGGUACUUUCAGAUGUGGUCAGCACUAUUUUCACAGGUUUAAGGCAUGUCUUGACUAUCUUCAAAAAAUCUGUAUUAGAGUUUUAAUGAAGUCAUGGUUGUCAAGACACUGGCAAGAAGAAGCAUUACUUCCCAAGCUGACAGCAGAAAGAAAAAGUACCUCUGCUGCUGCUUUUAUUUUGUUUGUCCACGUCUGUCCACAGACAGAUUUGCAGCAGUAUCUUUACAUUUUCCCCCGAUUUUUUAACUCAUCUUUAAAUUUUAUUUUUUAAAAAUUUACUACACCAAAGUGAAAGGCAUAAAGUAAAAACAAAUCAUAAUCAAAAUGAUGUAAAGCAAAUAAUCAGCACUGAACUGGUGAAAUUUAUAUAGAAAAUUGAGAUAAAAAUGGAGAUGAACUACAAAAAGCUAUUACAAAGAAAUAUUUUUUAAAUUUAAAAACACUUCUGAUGUUUUUUUUUUUUUUCCACUUCCUACUUUAUUCCAAGCCCGCGUCCUUGGAUAUUCUUUGUAGAAGAUCAACUAAAUCACACAGGAGAAAUGGAGCCAAAAAAAUCAGGAAAGACUUGACAUAUGUAUGAUUUUCGACUUAUGCAAAUCAGAUACAAAAUGUGAAAAUGAUCAAGGACGAUGCCAAACCUUGCCUCUUUCCCCCGGAUAUGCACACUGGCUGCCUAUAUAUCUGAGAAAGGAGGCAGAGUGGGAGAUGUACCCAACCAUGCACACCUGGCAUAAGCGGGGACACACAACUAAGGUAUAAACUUUCAGUAUGCAACAAUCUGGCCAAAAGAAUGAAAUCGAAUAAGCAUUUUCAAGAUCUGCUAAAGAAGCAGCUCCAACAACAACAUUUCCAAAUCCUGAGCUGCAGGUAGGAGAAUGACUUUCAUCAGAAAUGACAGGAGCCAGCUGCUCCAGAAAAGAUGUGAGCAGGGUGAUGAGUGUACGUUAAAGAGGGCACCACACACUGAAGGGCUUCCCAACUGCUGUAAACACAAACAGAGAAGGGGACCCAUCUUCAUUCAAAGGCAACAUGUGACACAUGCUAAACUUCUGAACACAGCCAAAUUCUUUUCCUCACUUCAUCUCCUCUAGGCUCUUAUCACCGCAAGCCAGAGAAACUCUUUGAAGUCUUUUAUUUUUGUUGCAAACCUACUUUCACAGUCAAACAUUUUUCAUCAAGCUAUUGGAGGGGAGAAAAAAAAAAAGCUUGCUUUUUUUUUUUUUACUCAUUAAGAAAGAACAAAUAGUUGUGAACUUAAAAAUUCUCCUCAUUUUUUAAAAAAUCUGGCUUUUUCAUAAAUAUUUGUUGCAAUUGCACAAUGUUUAUGCUCAAGAGAGUCACUUAGGAAAGAACAGCACAUUCUUUGGUGUUCCAGAACAUGACACCAGGUAAGAGAAGAUCUUUGAAGAAAAAAAAAA
Long non-coding RNA from Herpailurus yagouaroundi (jaguarundi), 2631 nucleotides. RefSeq lists it as uncharacterized. The transcript is spliced from 2 exons. Lineage: Eukaryota; Metazoa; Chordata; Mammalia; Carnivora; Felidae. The record is from RefSeq and is a predicted model, not a curated record.